Molecule: small nuclear RNA, 284 nt
Filed under: Ophiophagus hannah (king cobra)
Lineage: Eukaryota; Metazoa; Chordata; Lepidosauria; Squamata; Elapidae
Description: 7SK RNA
Rfam family: 7SK RNA
About the family: 7SK was discovered as an abundant small nuclear RNA in the mid-70s but a possible function has only recently been suggested.
Source: Rfam by way of RNAcentral
GGAUGUGAGGGUGAUCAGGCUGCGACGUCUGUCACCCCAUUGAUCGCCAGGGUUGAUUCAGCUGAUUUGGCUGACUAGGCGGGUGUUCCCUUCCUCCCUCACCGCUCCAUGUGCAUCCCUCCUGAAGCUGCAUGCUUGGUGGAAGUGGACAACCAUCCCAGAUAGAAGGUCAAGGGUAUACGAUAGCUGCGCUCCUCUGCUAGAACUGCCAAACAAGCUCAAGAUGGAAAAUGCUGUAUGGUGGUUUGGCUGAAUUGCUGGCUAAUAAGUUGUAUCAUCUCAUU